GAGGGUGCAAGCGUUGUCCGGAAUCAUUGGGCGUAAAGAGUUCGUAGGCGGCAUGUAAAGUCCGGUGUUAAAGGCGCAGGCUCAACCUGUGUAUGGCACUGGAUACUUGCAAGCUAGAAUGCGGUAGAGGUAAAGGGAAUUCCUGGUGUAGCGGUGAAAUGCUUAGAUAUCAGGAGGAACAUCGGUGGCGUAAGCGCGUUACUGGGCCGUGAUUGACGCUGAGGAACGAAAGCCAGGGUAGCAAA
RNAcentral lists this ribosomal RNA (245 nucleotides) under uncultured bacterium. RNAcentral describes it as "partial 16S ribosomal RNA". It matches the Rfam family "Bacterial small subunit ribosomal RNA", at positions 528 to 772 of the family's 1533-position model. The record is from RNAcentral.